AUGACUUAACAGCUACAAAUCGAAAAGCUCACGGGACUCGAUAAUUAUAAAGCUUGGUCUUGGACAGUAGGAGCCUAUUUAGCCUCCGAAGAUUUAAUAGAGGUUCUUGAAUAUGGUCCCGGUAAAGAUAAAGAGUCCCGACUCAAAGACGCACGAGCUAAAUUCAUCAUUUUGUGUUUGAUCGAGACGACGCUUUGCCAAUCUUUGGAGUGCUUCUCUACAGCCCGUGACUUAUGGUACUAUUUGAAAACACAAUAUUCUUCUUGUUAAAACCAAGUACACUGGAACGGAUCUAAAACAAAUGGAUUAAUAAUUGAAUUAUAGGUAUUCUUUCUAAAAGAAUUUAGAGAUAUGAUAAAAAGAGAGUAAAAACACUUUUAAUUUUCUUAACACAACACAUAUGUAUAUGAAAUACUGUUAUUACAAAAAUAAUAAUAAACCUCAAUGACAAUACGAAUAAAGAUAGCUAAUAAAAUAUA
RNA transcript from Bactrocera dorsalis (oriental fruit fly), 479 nucleotides. RefSeq lists it as uncharacterized. The record is from RefSeq and is a predicted model, not a curated record. Lineage: Eukaryota; Metazoa; Arthropoda; Insecta; Diptera; Tephritidae. The transcript has 2 exons.